AUAUAUUACUACCAGCCCAUAAUUUCAAUUUAUUUCACAUUUUAAACACUAAAUUUCCACAUUUCACAAUUUAGUCCAAAAUUGACAUUUUUCUCAAAAAUCACUUUAUAAAAGAUGAAAAUCUAACAUCAAAUAUUCAUAAUCUAUCAUAAAUCAUCAAUUUACUCAAGCAUUCAACAAUGGCAACAUGUUAAAUCUUUAACAGUUUCGAAUUCAGAGGCACGAGCUAGCUAGAUUAUGAAGCAACGAUCUCAAAAACGUAAAAAUCAUUAAAAUAGGAACAAAAACGAACU
RNAcentral lists this long non-coding RNA (293 nucleotides) under Gossypium raimondii (Peruvian cotton). RNAcentral describes it as "long non-coding RNA (GRAI_LNC008533)". Lineage: Eukaryota; Viridiplantae; Streptophyta; Magnoliopsida; Malvales; Malvaceae. The record is from RNAcentral.